Molecule: ribosomal RNA, 161 nt
Filed under: Athanasia rugulosa
Lineage: Eukaryota; Viridiplantae; Streptophyta; Magnoliopsida; Asterales; Asteraceae
Description: 5.8S ribosomal RNA
Rfam family: 5.8S ribosomal RNA
About the family: 5.8S ribosomal RNA (5.8S rRNA) is a component of the large subunit of the eukaryotic ribosome. It is transcribed by RNA polymerase I as part of the 45S precursor that also contains 18S and 28S rRNA. Functionally, it is thought that 5.8S rRNA may be involved in ribosome translocation.
Source: RNAcentral
CGACUCUCGGCAACGGAUAUCUCGGCUCACGCAUCGAUGAAGAACGUAGCAAAAUGCGAUACUUGGUGUGAAUUGCAGAAUCCCGUGAACCAUCGAGUUUUUGAACGCAAGUUGCGCCCGAAGCCUUUUGGCCGAGGGCACGUCUGCCUGGGCGUCACGUA